RNAcentral lists this ribosomal RNA (384 nucleotides) under uncultured bacterium. RNAcentral describes it as "bacterial SSU rRNA". It matches the Rfam family "Bacterial small subunit ribosomal RNA", at positions 30 to 416 of the family's 1533-position model. The record is from RNAcentral.
AUUGAACGCUGGCGGCAUGCUUUACACAUGCAAGUCGAACGGCAGCACGGGGCAACCUGGUGGCGAGUGGCGAACGGGUGAGUAAUGCAUCGGAACGUGCCAUUGAGUGGGGGAUAACGUAGCGAAAGUUGCGCUAAUACCGCAUAUUCUGUGAGCAGGAAAGCAGGGGACCGCAAGGCCUUGCGCUCUUUGAGCGGCCGAUGUCAGAUUAGCUAGUUGGUGAGGUAACGGCUUACCAAGGCGACGAUCUGUAGCGGGUCUGAGAGGAUGAUCCGCCACACUGGAACUGAGACACGGUCCAGACUCCUACGGGAGGCAGCAGUGGGGAAUUUUGGACAAUGGGCGCAAGCCUGAUCCAGCCAUGCCGCGUGAGUGAAGAAGGCC